GACGAACGCUGGCGGCGUGCCUAAUACAUGCAAGUAGAACGCUGAAGGAGGAGCUUGCUUCUCUGGAUGAGUUGCGAACGGGUGAGUAACGCGUAGGUAACCUGCCUGGUAGCGGGGGAUAACUAUUGGAAACGAUAGCUAAUACCGCAUAAUAGUAGAUGUUGCAUGACAUUUGCUUAAAAGGUGCAAUUGCAUCACUACCAGAUGGACCUGCGUUGUAUUAGCUAGUUGGUGAGGUAACGGCUCACCAAGGCAACGAUACAUAGCCGACCUGAGAGGGUGAUCGGCCACACUGGGACUGAGACACGGCCCAGACUCCUACGGGAGGCAGCAGUAGGGAAUCUUCGGCAAUGGACGGAAGUCUGACCGAGCAACGCCGCGUGAGGGAAGAAGGUUUUCGGAUCGUAAAGCUCGGUUGUAAGAGAAGAACGAGUGUGAGAGUGGAAAGUUCACACUGUGACGGUAUCUUACCAGAAAGGGACGGCUAACUACGUG
RNAcentral lists this ribosomal RNA (495 nucleotides) under uncultured bacterium. RNAcentral describes it as "partial 16S ribosomal RNA". It matches the Rfam family "Bacterial small subunit ribosomal RNA", at positions 28 to 507 of the family's 1533-position model. The record is from RNAcentral.